RNAcentral lists this long non-coding RNA (383 nucleotides) under Panax ginseng (ginseng). RNAcentral describes it as "long non-coding RNA (PGIN_LNC016806)". Lineage: Eukaryota; Viridiplantae; Streptophyta; Magnoliopsida; Apiales; Araliaceae. The record is from RNAcentral.
UCUCUCAUCUUAGAACUGACAUUAGCUAAUUAUCCUUUUUUCCCGUAUAACCCAAAUUAAACCAAAAUCUUUAAAUCACAUUUAGCAUUUGAUUUGAUACAUCUAAAUAGCUUAAAUUAUCCCCCAACUCGUUCAUAUAUACCAUCUUGUUCAGGAUACUAAUAAAUUCUCAAGUUUUAACAAUACAGUCCCUUUGAAACAUUUUAUCGAACUCGUAACAUGCAUAGUAUAAAAAUCAAAUUUUACAUAGUAUUUGAAUAUGAAAUCAUGCCAAUCUCCUUACAAAUUCUCCUUAUGACUCUCGAAUCCAUCUGAUUCCUUCGUGUAGACAACCUCCCACAACCAAACAUGGUAUUAACAGGACAUAAUUAACUAAAUUUUCA